AUGUUUGACUGCCCCUGCUACAGUGGGCGCACCGGUCGCACGCUAGCGAGCGCAGGAGACGCCACGGCCGCUCUACUGCGAGAAGCACGCACAGAAUCCAACCGAAGUGAACCGUUUCAGCCCCAUUCGCCCACUGUGGCCGGUGUUUACGUCCACAUCCGACCCGUCCACUCGCAGCUCUGCGGCCGCAAGGCACAUUUCAACGUGACUGGACCCGAGGGAGCGACGCCGUGCUGUCGCUGCCUGCAUUGUUUUCAUAAGGAGGGGGAGGAGGACACGUUUGCUUCACUAGUGAAAGCGCUGCUGGUACAGACGAAUGAUCCGCUGAAAGGCUUCACAGUAACAUAUGACAUGCAAAGACCCCAGGAUGUGGAGGUGCAGCACAUUUUAGUCCGUGCUCUCUGGGACCUUUGACCUCUGAAUGUUAUAAUAAGGCACCGUGGGCUGCUCCAUUAGAGCCAGUUAGACGUCACAGUGGCUGGUGGAGGUCAAUGACAGACGCUUUUAUCCUCGACGGUGAUCAUCUGGACAUAAACAGUGAUAGUACCGCGUCCACCAGCGGCAGCGCCUCAUGACGUCAGGGUGCUGAACCACAUCCACAUGUUGCGCUGUGAUGUCGCGGUUUGAAGUGUUGGAUUUCCUCAUGCUCAGAUCUAGUCAGUCAGGUCGCCCAGGUAAUGCCCUGCUUUGCCCAAUAGUACAGACUGUUCCAGUCGCUGUUUGUUGCGGCCAAAGGUUGCAGGAGGUCACCAACAAGAAGCUCAUCUGGGUUUCAGCAGAAAAGAGGGAAAUGAAGGUCUCGUGAUGGUCGACGCGCUCAUUCAGAGGCAGCGAACACGGACUUCUUGUAAUUUGGAGCUAAAAAAAAUAUCUGUUUUUCUGACAUUCCUCCAGGGCUUGAGUCACAACAAAGGGGCCGGACUCCUUACAAAUUAGAACACGAUGUCCAUCUUAUGCAGACACGAGCUUUGAAGUUCUAAAAUUAGCCUAUUAACACUGUUAUUUUGUCCGAAAAGCAUUUCCUUUCCGUCCGUGUGAAACAGAUUAAGAUUAUAUUUUUUUCCAUUAACAGAUUUUGUUUGUGGGAGUUUUCCCGAACGUCACGAGGCGUUUGAUGACCCGUCAAAACCUGUAGAUCAUAAAUCUGAGAAAAGGAGAUGCCUCCUUGAGCGUCUCUCCUCGGGCUGAGUCCGUUAAAAUAAUCACGGACCAGAACGCGGGCACCUGAAAUAAGACGCCGUGCCCAUGUUUUCAUGUCAUAACAGGAAAAGCGCGGCUGUGGAUGACAACGUCCAACCGAGCUGCAUUCCUCGUAGGUCACCUAGUUUCCUGCGGCUGCCAGUCCUGGCUGGCGCAGCUCAGCGAGCCACUUACUGGAACUGAGUCUGUCAACCACACCACCUCCACCUGUGCUGCUCCUGCUACGAGGCCGCGCCUCCCCGACCAGCUCACACCAUGGAAGCUUCAAUUCAAACAGCCCCAAAAUGCUUCGGAUGCUUGACAUAACUUAUGGCGCACGACUUAAAAAGGAUCCAUCUACGGCUAAUUGAAUCCAGACGGGACCACUUCCUGCUUCCUUAGUGCGCGUAUUAAUGGUUGGAAACGAAGCCCGGUACCACUGGGCCUGUCUGGUCCUAGUCAGAACCAGCUGAGAGCAUAAUAUUCACUGCAGCAGAUUUGCUUCGUACUCGCUCAUAUGUUCAUUGAGUCUAUUCCCUCCACACACACACACACACACACACACACACACACACACACACACACACACACACACACACACACACACACACACACACACACACACACACACACACAGACUCUACUUACAGUAUAAGCCUGUCUGUGGUAGUUCCCCUCAGUACAGUGUGCAGUCUGUGGGUUUGAUCAGAGGCGUCCCACCUGGAGGGAGUCUACAAGCAAAAACAUCGCUCCAGACUGAUUUAGAGCCGCUCUCGGCUCCACAGGAAUGAAUGAGCGGCGCUUGAAUGGUGCUCUUCUUCCAGUGAGCCUCCCACCGGCGGGCAGCGCCUGGAGUGUGAAGGCGCAUAAUGACCCUGUGGGAUGAGAGUCUUACAUGUACGUCUGUAAAAAUGUCAACACACUGAAUAAUAAGGCGGGUGACUAAUACCUUAACGUGUGUGCUUCAAAUGAUGUUCAGUGAAAAGUUAGUAUUAACAUGUGCUUCAUCAGAUGAUGAAUCCUCACAGCUGACGUUUACACAAAUAACUUUUUGAAUGAAGCCAUAGAUUGUUUGUUGUUCUUUGAUAUGUUUAUUUAAUAAAUUAAUAUUGUUUAUUUAUAAUAUUACA
Molecule: long non-coding RNA, 2309 nt
Filed under: Betta splendens (Siamese fighting fish)
Lineage: Eukaryota; Metazoa; Chordata; Actinopteri; Anabantiformes; Osphronemidae
Description: lncRNA (ENSBSLG00000024848.1)
Source: RNAcentral